AUCCAGCAGCCAGACCAGCAGCAGAACUACAGAGAACAUGAUGAUGAAGAUGACGAAGAUGACUGAUUGGAGUUUCUACUUGGCUGACAAGCCAUCAAGUUUUUUUUAAGAUGAAGUAUUUGAUUAACAAUGUACUGAAGGACAUGAUUAAUAACUUUGUUUUUGUUUAUUUGGAUGACAUUUUUUUUUUUUUACCAGACCCUGUUGUCCAUGUGCAGCACGUCAGAGCCAUCCUUCAGCGCCUGCUGGAGAAUCAGCUUUUCUGUAAAGCUGAAAAGUGCGAUUUCCACACCUUGCGAACUGAGUUUCUCUGGCAUGUGGUCACUCCAGGUGCUGUCCAAAUGGAUGACUCCAAAGUUCAAGCUGUCUUGGAGUGGCCUGUCCCGACAGGCAGAAAACAGCUACAUUAUCAUCCUCCUCCUUUCCUGUCAUUCCUGACAGCUGCUUGCAUUUAGUUAAUUGGUUUCUCGUAUUAUUUAAGAUCACCUGUUUCAGCAGUCUGUGUCGCAGUGUAGUUUCUGUUUGUUCAUUAUGUUCCUGGUUUGCUUGGCUUGUUUCAAUGGACAGGAUUCCUUAGUUAUAUUAAAUACUUCUCCUCACUUCACUUCCUUCUUUGUUCCUGCAUUUGCGUCACCUUGAUUUCCCGUAACAGAAACUGCUUCAAAAACCAAAAUUACGAACUUAUUAAUACAAACGAAAUGUCUUGAUUUGUUUUGGUUAUCUCAAGAUAAAAUUUAAGUUGCCAUUUUCAAAAUAAAAUUUUCUGUUUGGCGACUUUUUUUGGCAAAGGCAUGGACCAUAAGAAUGGUCUCUUUGUAUUCUCGUUAAGCUCUGAUUGGGUGGAUUUUUGUAUUUGGGUAUUUUAGUUAUGUGAUGGCAUUUUCUGUAUUCUGUCUUCCAGUGUCAUAAAAGCCCAUGCGGGCUGGGCACACGAGUGCAUGACACUUAAAAAAUAUCAAACUGAACUAGUUGUUCUUGUUCAAAUUAUAAACAUGGAUGUUUCUUCAUGUAUUUAGUGACAUUUUUGGGUUUAACUUAUUUUCUUUUUUCCUGACGUCAAAGGUUACAUCAGAUCUUAGUUGUUAAAUCUAAAGAUCUUUUAUCUAUUAUCUAGUUGUCUUGGUAAAUCUAAUAAUUUGCUUUUCAUUACAUUUUCAGGUCAUUUGUUUGUCACACGUAUCUUUAUUCCUUGUGUUAUAAUUUGCUCAUAACUAACACAUUUCUUUAGUCUACACUGAUAUUAGCAAAUGUUUUUAGUUUUAAAAUAAUCUUCGUGGUUUUUUUUUAGUUCCAAACAUGUUUCUCUUGUAUCUAUUUCUUGGUCUAACUGCUGCACUGACUAAAUUAUUUCUUUUGUCUCAUAAUAAAUGUUUCAGGGAUUUUCUGCAUCUGUUUCCUCUCUUUGGGUUGAUGCAGUUAAUAACCUGCCUCUAAGUCUAAAUACAGAUUACGGUAUUCAGCUGUUUCUGUUUAUAUUAAUUAGCAUUCAUCUGAUUCAGUUUUUAGUACAUCCUGGUCAGGCCAUCUUUAGUUUCUUCCUUCUUUCAUAGAUUUUUUUUUUUUUUUUGUCAGCUAAAUUUUUUCUAUUAGGUUUGUUUAAAGUUUUAGUUAAGCCUGAUCUUCUCUUUGAUUCCUUCACAUCCCAUUCCUGAUAAUCAGGGCCGGCCUGAUUAUCAGGGCAUUUAUUUUGUUUGUCAUUUAUAAAUGAGAAUCUUUAUUUCCAAUUUGUAUUUGGCAGCUUUGAUUCUCCAUAUUCCAUGCCAACGCAAGAUUUUUAGACACACUCAAUGUUGAAAAAGUCAGAUUACCUGACUUUCUAUAACAGAUUUACAACAGUUUUUAUACUGACAUAAACUGGAAAAUGCAGAUCGCACUAAACAUGUGUUAGCAAAACAAUUAAACAAUAAGAUAACGUGACUUAAAACAUUUAUCAGCCACCAUACCAUUAUCAUUAUCUACUUUUCUAUGCUCUCCACCGUUUUGGAAGGUCAAGUUCGACCUCAUCUUUGAAAACUUGGAUAUCAGAAUUAUUAUCGAGUUUUGCAUUUGGAAAUUAUGACAAACGGGUAAUUUAUGUACAAACUUUACCUCGUAUCGAUAAGUAUUUUACGUUAAUCGUGCAGCUGCGCACAGAAAGGCCAGGAUCAUGUAAAAAUACGGCCCCAACAUCCUCCAAACUUACCUUGUGAUUGAUGUUAAAGUUCUUCAUCUUUUUUCAGCGCCUGAUGAAAAAGUCUCUUUGGCAAGUUCUCUUGUGGUCCCUUUGAUCAAUGUGACAACUUGCGCUCGUAAAUGCACACUGUGCUAGGCUCAGAUGUUGACCAAUCAUUGCUAAGAGUGGCAUAACGUAAUUAUUUGGGUUGCCAGAUUGGUUCAGGUAUGUUGAAAGGGAGGAUCAUUAAAGUGCAGGCAACAUUCUUUUGCUCAACAUUCGCAGCGCACGUUGGUAGGGAAGUGCUAUUAAAUGGGUUGCCAGAUUUGGGCCUUUUUUUUGCCACUUUGGGGCCCUGUUGGUGACGGCAGGGCCCUACACGGCUGCGUAAUUUGCGUAUAGGGUGGGCCGGCCAUGCUGACAAUGAUUUGUAGUUUGUGUGUCAUGGUGCCUCUGGCAGCGCUCCUCCCCCUCCACUCUCUGCUCUUCUCCUGAGGACUCCCAGCUGUUUCCACUCAGCUCAUCUACCUGCAGCUCUUCUUAAUGAGACCAACAUCCAGCAUUCAUCGCCAGUUCGUUGCUCCUCCAUGGUGCAUAGUCAGGUCAUUCAUGUUCUCGCUCUAGAAAUUUUGACCUCAAGUAAUUACUCCCCUAUGCCUUGUUUCAGGAAAAACCCACCACAAGUGUUAACCUGGGAUUGCCUCCAGAACUAUCAGUCCUCCUCAAGCUCGGCUCGUUACCUGUUUAUGCCAAUCCUCCAACUCAGCCACUAGAGAAAACCUCCAGCCACGCCACGACUUCAAGCCAGGAUUGCAGUUCCAGCACCUGGGUCUGCCUCAAGUCCUUGAUAUCAUGACAUUGUGAUUUUUAAACUAUAACACAGACACUCUCCAGCUCCUGUUUCCUGUUUCAGUGAUUGCUCAUCUGUGGAUAAACUUUACUGCUGGAGUCAUCUCUGAAGAUGGUAAAUCUGUUCUUCACUGACUCUGAGUAAUAGAUAGGGCUGCUGGAUGUGUGCACCAAAGCGAUCCACUCCAGUCCUUUCCCGUGAGUCUGUCUG
Oryzias latipes (Japanese medaka) is the source of this 3212-nucleotide long non-coding RNA. RefSeq lists it as uncharacterized. The record is from RefSeq and is a predicted model, not a curated record. Lineage: Eukaryota; Metazoa; Chordata; Actinopteri; Beloniformes; Adrianichthyidae.